AACGAACGCUGGCGGCAUGCCUAACACAUGCAAGUCGAACGGGAUCCUAGCUUGCUAGGUGAGAGUGGCGGACGGGUGAGUAACACGUGGGAAUCUGCCUUUUGGUUCGGGAUAACCGCGGGAAACUGCGGCUAAUACCGAAUGCCCUCGAGAGAGGAAAGAUUUAUCGCCAGAAGAGGAGCCCGCGUCCGAUUAGGUAGUUGGUGGGGUAAAGGCCUACCAAGCCGACGAUCGGUAGCUGGUCUGAGAGGAUGAUCAGCCACACUGGGACUGAGAUACGGCCCAGACUCCUACGGGAGGCAGCAGUGGGGAAUAUUGGACAAUGGGGGCAACCCUGAUCCAGCAAUGCCGCGUGAGUGAUGAAGGCCUUAGGGUUGUAAAGCUCUUUUGCCAGGGAAGAUGAUGACUGUACCUGGAGAAUAAAGCCCGGCUAACUUCGUGCCAGCAGCCGCGGUAA
Molecule: ribosomal RNA, 457 nt
Filed under: uncultured bacterium
Lineage: Bacteria
Description: bacterial SSU rRNA
Rfam family: Bacterial small subunit ribosomal RNA
Source: RNAcentral